CCUCAUUGAGACUUAGCAUGAAUAGAAUUAAAGCUCACGACUUUAAGGAAACAGAAAGUCACAUGCUCAUACCUUAGCUAUAUUCCUUUUUGUCUCCAAACCAGAACAUAAAGUUUAAUAGUAACAGAAUUUCAUGGCAAGAGACGAGUACUUAACAUUUUUUUUAA
This is a long non-coding RNA of Oxyura jamaicensis (ruddy duck), 167 nucleotides long. RefSeq lists it as uncharacterized. Lineage: Eukaryota; Metazoa; Chordata; Aves; Anseriformes; Anatidae. The record is from RefSeq and is a predicted model, not a curated record. The transcript is spliced from 3 exons.